This 700-nucleotide ribosomal RNA is filed under the name Escherichia coli. Its description in RNAcentral is "bacterial SSU rRNA". It matches the Rfam family "Bacterial small subunit ribosomal RNA", at positions 73 to 764 of the family's 1533-position model. Lineage: Bacteria; Pseudomonadati; Pseudomonadota; Gammaproteobacteria; Enterobacterales; Enterobacteriaceae. The record is from RNAcentral.
AAGCAGCUUGCUUCUUUGCUGACGAGUGGCGGACGGGUGAGUAAUGUCUGGGAAACUGCCUGAUGGAGGGGGAUAACUACUGGAAACGGUAGCUAAUACCGCAUAACGUCGCAAGACCAAAGAGGGGGACCUUCGGGCCUCUUGCCAUCGGAUGUGCCCAGAUGGGAUUAGCUAGUAGGUGGGGUAACGGCUCACCUAGGCGACGAUCCCUAGCUGGUCUGAGAGGAUGACCAGCCACACUGGAACUGAGACACGGUCCAGACUCCUACGGGAGGCAGCAGUGGGGAAUAUUGCACAAUGGGCGCAAGCCUGAUGCAGCCAUGCCGCGUGUAUGAAGAAGGCCUUCGGGUUGUAAAGUACUUUCAGCGGGGAGGAAGGGAGUAAAGUUAAUACCUUUGCUCAUUGACGUUACCCGCAGAAGAAGCACCGGCUAACUCCGUGCCAGCAGCCGCGGUAAUACGGAGGGUGCAAGCGUUAAUCGGAAUUACUGGGCGUAAAGCGCACGCAGGCGGUUUGUUAAGUCAGAUGUGAAAUCCCCGGGCUCAACCUGGGAACUGCAUCUGAUACUGGCAAGCUUGAGUCUCGUAGAGGGGGGGUAGAAUUCCAGGUGUAGCGGUGAAAUGCGUAGAGAUCUGGAGGAAUACGCGGUGGCGAAGGCGGCCCCCUGGACGAAGACUGACGCUCAGGUGCGAAAGCGUGG